GACAUUUAAUAAUGAUUCUAAUUUUAGGGAGACUUAUUUACAACUCCUUAAGCACUAAAAAUAAUAAUUGUUUUUAGGUCAUCAUGCUCUUUAUAGACUAUAAAGUGGUCUAAUCAUAUUCUAUUUUUUUUCCGGCAAAGAGAGAAAAUAUGGCUAAAACUUUAAAUUUUGUGUGUGCAAUGAUUUUAUUUAUUUCCUUGUUUCUUGUUUCAAAGAACGUUGCUUUAUAUAUUAUUGAAUGUAAAACUGAUGCUGAUUGUCCAAUAAGUAAGUUAAAUAUGUAUAACUGGAGAUGCAUUAAAAGUUCAUGUCAUCUGUAUAAAGUCAUUCAAUUUAUGGUAUGAGUACCAGGACCAAGAGAAUAAAUUUACACCACGCAAUGAAGAAUGAAUUCUUAAAAUAGAGAGAAAAAAACAAUUGUUGAAUAUGCUAUUUCGCAAUUGGCAUUUAGUUAUUAUACUCUCACCCAAUAAGUGUAUUUUUUAAUCAUUUUUAUUUUUCAUAAUUUCACAGACCUUGUAAUUAUUGUUUGUGCUUAAGAUGUUGGAAAUGAAAUAAAAUAAGACACUAAAGAAUAUUAUAAUUA
This is an RNA transcript of Medicago truncatula (barrel medic), 586 nucleotides long. RefSeq lists it as uncharacterized. The record is from RefSeq and is a predicted model, not a curated record. Lineage: Eukaryota; Viridiplantae; Streptophyta; Magnoliopsida; Fabales; Fabaceae. The transcript has 2 exons.